RNAcentral lists this ribosomal RNA (253 nucleotides) under uncultured bacterium. Its description in RNAcentral is "partial 16S ribosomal RNA". It matches the Rfam family "Bacterial small subunit ribosomal RNA", at positions 524 to 776 of the family's 1533-position model. The record is from RNAcentral.
UACGAAGGGGGCUAGCGUUGUUCGGAAUUACUGGGCGUAAAGAGCAUGUAGGCGGAAUAGCAAGUCAGUGGUGAAAUCCCAGAGCUCAACUCUGGAAUUGCCAUUGAAACUGUUAAUCUAGAGACUUGGAGGGGGAGGCGGAAUUUCUAAUGUAGGGGUGAAAUCCGUAGAUAUUAGAAGGAACACCGGUGGCGAAGGCGGCCUCCUGGACAAGUACUGACGCUGAGAUGCGAAAGUGUGGGGAUCAAACAGG